GACGAACGCUGGCGGCGUGCUUAACACAUGCAAGUCGAACGGAAAGGCCCUGCUUUUGUGUGGUGCUCGAGUGGCGAACGGGUGAGUAACACGUGAGUAACCUGCCCUUGACUUUGGGAUAACUGCAGGAAACUGGUGCUAAUACCUGAUAGGAGCUCCUGCUGCAUGGUGGUGGUUGGAAAGUUUAGGCGGUUGGGGCUGGACUUGGGGCUUAUGAGCUUGUUGGUGGGGUAGUGGCUUACCAAGGCUUUGACGGGUAGCCGGCCUGAGAGGGUGACCGGCCACAUUGGGACUGCGAUACGGCCCAGACUCCUACGGGAGGCAGCAGUGGGGAAUAUUGCACAAUGGGCGGAAGCCUGAUGCAGCAACGCCGCGUGCGGGAUGACGGCCUUCGGGUUGUAAACCGCUUUCGCCUGUGACGAAGCGUGAGUGACGGUAAUGGGUAAAGAAGCACCGGCUAACUACGUG
RNAcentral lists this ribosomal RNA (468 nucleotides) under uncultured bacterium. RNAcentral describes it as "partial 16S ribosomal RNA". It matches the Rfam family "Bacterial small subunit ribosomal RNA", at positions 28 to 507 of the family's 1533-position model. The record is from RNAcentral.